Salarias fasciatus (jewelled blenny) is the source of this 813-nucleotide long non-coding RNA. RefSeq lists it as uncharacterized. The transcript is spliced from 3 exons. The record is from RefSeq and is a predicted model, not a curated record. NCBI's taxonomy places the organism in Eukaryota, Metazoa, Chordata, Actinopteri, Blenniiformes, Blenniidae.
AGUGGAUUUCAAAUGGCUUUUGGCACGCAGCACUUGACUCCACUGAUUUAAAUGUGAGUAAAAGUCCUGAGCAGACAAAGAACUGAAGGUGAUUCUACAUCCAGCGCUGUAAAAACCCGUAAUCUCUCUUGGAAAGAUGUCAGUUCGAUGUGAAUAAAUUAGUAAAAACAGAUGACUCAACGACGGAUGCGUCAUGGCUCUGCUGCUGAACGAGUUCAGUUCCACCUCUGGUCCUCCCGGUGUCCCCACGGCGGACCGAGGACACCCGUCAGGGAGUGCUCAGGGAGGUCAGCCAGUGGGUGUGGAACCCCAGCGACUCCCAGGAGGAGCAGCUCGACGCCCCAACGCCGAGGAAACCAGCCACACAGCAGCUCCAGCAGGUCUGAACUGGAGGAGUCCGGAGAAGCAGCGUCACAUCAGAAAGUCCUGUCAGUCAACAGUUCAGGAGAGCAGAGUCAGCGAUCAGCGGCGUGGCGGUGGUCGGCGGAUACAGCCGGACGACACCGAACAGCCGAACACAGCAGAGACUCAUGGAGGACAUUCACCAGGACAGCCCAGCAGGGACAGAGGGACGGCGGAGGCCUCCCACUUUCAGCCGAAUGAAGAAUUGACAUCCAUCUGGAGCCUCAAAACAUGUCUCAUCUUGAAAAAGAGGAACUCGAGGUGUCCGGCGCUCUGGCCUCGGUGGGGGUGUAGACCAGGGUCCAGCCGUCCGUUGUGCUGCUGCUGUUUCCCUGGAGUGUCCUGGCAGGAAGCGAGCAGCCUCGAAGUCUUAUCUCCUGCAGCCAGGAUGCUGAUUACCGGCGGCUGCAG